RNAcentral lists this ribosomal RNA (437 nucleotides) under uncultured bacterium. RNAcentral's name for it is "bacterial SSU rRNA". It matches the Rfam family "Bacterial small subunit ribosomal RNA", at positions 338 to 791 of the family's 1533-position model. The record is from RNAcentral.
CCUACGGGAGGCAGCAGUGGGGAAUAUUGCACAAUGGGGGGAACCCUGAUGCAGCGACGCCGCGUGAGCGAAGAAGUAUCUCGGUAUGUAAAGCUCUAUCAGCAGGGAAGAAAAAUGACGGUACCUGACUAAGAAGCCCCGGCUAACUACGUGCCAGCAGCCGCGGUAAUACGUAGGGGGCAAGCGUUAUCCGGAUUUACUGGGUGUAAAGGGAGCGCAGGCGGCGCGGCAAGUCUGAUGUGAAAGCCCGGGGCUCAACCCCGGGACUGCAUUGGAAACUGUCGCGCUCGAGUGUCGGAGAGGUAAGUGGAAUUCCUAGUGUAGCGGUGAAAUGCGUAGAUAUUAGGAGGAACACCAGUGGCGAAGGCGGCUUACUGGACGACAACUGACGCUGAGGCUCGAAAGCGUGGGGAGCAAACAGGAUUAGAUACCCCGGU